CCGUAUUGUACGCGGAGGGACAUUACAGAGUUAUACAACUCCCAUACCAUCUGUGAACCUACCCAGUUAUGCCUCGGCGUAAGCUCGGUUGGAGGCACCUGCAGCUACCCUGUAGUUGCACCCGCAGCUACCCUGUAGUUGUUGGUGCAGCUACCCUGUAGUUGCGGACUGCCAACUCCAGCCGCGGCCCGCCGGCGGUACACUAAACUCUGUUUUAUUUUACAUUCUGAGCGUCUUAUUUUAAUAAGUUAAAACUUUCAACAACGGAUCUCUUGGUUCUGGCAUCGAUGAAGAACGCAGCGAAAUGCGAUAAGUAAUGUGAAUUGCAGAAUUCAGUGAAUCAUCGAAUCUUUGAACGCACAUUGCGCCCAUCAGUAUUCUGGUGGGCAUGCCUGUUCGAGCGUCAUUUCAACCCUUAAGCCUAGCUUAGUGUUGGGAAUCUGCUGUACUGCAGUUCCUUAAAGACAGUGGCGGAGCGGCGGUAGUCCUCUGAGCGUAGUAAUUUAUUUCUCGCUUUUGUCAGGCUCUGUCCUCCCGCCAUAAAACCCCCAAUUUUUUAGUGGUUGACCUCGGAUCAGGUAGGAAUACCCGCUGAACUUAAGCAUUAA
This 608-nucleotide ribosomal RNA is filed under the name Arthrinium sp. HD-2014. RNAcentral's name for it is "eukaryotic LSU rRNA". The stretch from base 253 to 406 matches the Rfam family "5.8S ribosomal RNA". Lineage: Eukaryota; Fungi; Ascomycota; Sordariomycetes; Amphisphaeriales; Apiosporaceae. The record is from RNAcentral.